GGUGAAAAGCACCCCGGAAGGGGAGUGAAAUAGAACCUGAAACCGUGUGCUUACAAGUAGUCAGAGCCCGUUAAUGGGUGAUGGCGUGCCUUUUGUAGAAUGAACCGGCGAGUUACGAUUUGAUGCAAGGUUAAGCAGUAAAUGUGGAGCCGUAGCGAAAGCGAGUCUGAAUAGGGCGUUUAGUAUUUGGUCGUAGACCCGAAACCAGGUGAUCUACCCUUGGUCAGGUUGAAGUUCAGGUAACACUGAAUGGAGGACCGAACCGACUUACGUUGAAAAGUGAGCGGAUGAACUGAGGGUAGCGGAGAAAUUCCAAUCGAACCUGGAGAUAGCUGGUUCUCUCCGAAAUAGCUUUAGGGCUAGCCUCAAGUGAUGAUUAUUGGAGGUAGAGCACUGUUUGGACGAGGGGCCCCUCUCGGGUUACCGAAUUCAGACAAACUCCGAAUGCCAAUUAAUUUAACUUGGGAGUCAGAACAUGGGUGAUAAGGUCCGUGUUCGAAAGGGAAACAGCCCAGACCACCAGCUAAGGUCCCAAAAUAUAUGUUAAGUGGAAAAGGAUGUGGCGUUGCCCAGACAACUAGGAUGUUGGCUUAGAAGCAGCCAUCAUUUAAAGAGUGCGUAAUAGCUCACUAGUCGAGUGACACUGCGCCGAAAAUGUACCGGGGCUAAACAUAUUACCGAAGCUGUGGAUUGUCCUUUGGACAAUGGUAGGAGAGCGUUCUAAGGGCGUUGAAGCAUGAUCGUAAGGACAUGUGGAGCGCUUAGAAGUGAGAAUGCCGGUGUGAGUAGCGAAAGACGGGUGAGAAUCCCGUCCACCGAUUGACUAAGGUUUCCAGAGGAAGGCUCGUCCGCUCUGGGUUAGUCGGGUCCUAAGCUGAGGCCGACAGGCGUAGGCGAUGGAUAACAGGUUGAUAUUCCUGUACCACCUAUAAUCGUUUUAAUCGAUGGGGGGACGCAGUAGGAUAGGCGAAGCGUGCGAUUGGAUUGCACGUCUAAGCAGUAAGGCUGAGUAUUAGGCAAAUCCGGUACUCAUUAAGGCUGAGCUGUGAUGGGGAGAAGACAUUGUGUCUUCGAGUCGUUGAUUUCACACUGCCGAGAAAAGCCUCUAGAUAGAAAAUAGGUGCCCGUACCGCAAACCGACACAGGUAGUCAAGAUGAGAAUUCUAAGGUGAGCGAGCGAACUCUCGUUAAGGAACUCGGCAAAAUGAC
Molecule: ribosomal RNA, 1209 nt
Filed under: Staphylococcus aureus
Lineage: Bacteria; Bacillati; Bacillota; Bacilli; Caryophanales; Staphylococcaceae
Description: partial 23S ribosomal RNA
Rfam family: Bacterial large subunit ribosomal RNA
Source: RNAcentral